This 497-nucleotide ribosomal RNA is filed under the name uncultured bacterium. RNAcentral describes it as "partial 16S ribosomal RNA". It matches the Rfam family "Bacterial small subunit ribosomal RNA", at positions 28 to 507 of the family's 1533-position model. The record is from RNAcentral.
GAUGAACGCUGGCGGCGUGCCUAAUACAUGCAAGUCGAGCGAACAGACGAGGAGCUUGCUCCUCUGACGUUAGCGGCGGACGGGUGAGUAACACGUGGAUAACCUACCUAUAAGACUGGGAUAACUUCGGGAAACCGGAGCUAAUACCGGAUAAUAUAUUGAACCGCAUGGUUCAAUAGUGAAAGACGGUUUUGCUGUCACUUAUAGAUGGAUCCGCGCCGCAUUAGCUAGUUGGUAAGGUAACGGCUUACCAAGGCAACGAUGCGUAGCCGACCUGAGAGGGUGAUCGGCCACACUGGAACUUAGACACGGUCCAGACUCCUACGGGAGGCAGCAGUAGGGAAUCUUCCGCAAUGGGCGAAAGCUUGACGGAGCAACGCCGCGUGAGUGAUGAAGGUCUUCGGAUCGUAAAACUCUGUUAUUAGGGAAGAACAAAUGUGUAAGUAACUAUGCACGUCUUGACGGUACCUAAUCAGAAAGCCACGGCUAACUACGUG